This 344-nucleotide ribosomal RNA is filed under the name Staphylococcus pseudintermedius. RNAcentral's name for it is "bacterial SSU rRNA". It matches the Rfam family "Bacterial small subunit ribosomal RNA", at positions 1133 to 1475 of the family's 1533-position model. Lineage: Bacteria; Bacillati; Bacillota; Bacilli; Caryophanales; Staphylococcaceae. The record is from RNAcentral.
GGGCACUCUAAGUUGACUGCCGGUGACAAACCGGAGGAAGGUGGGGAUGACGUCAAAUCAUCAUGCCCCUUAUGAUUUGGGCUACACACGUGCUACAAUGGACAAUACAAAGGGCAGCGAAACCGCGAGGUCAAGCAAAUCCCAUAAAGUUGUUCUCAGUUCGGAUUGUAGUCUGCAACUCGACUACAUGAAGCUGGAAUCGCUAGUAAUCGUAGAUCAGCAUGCUACGGUGAAUACGUUCCCGGGUCUUGUACACACCGCCCGUCACACCACGAGAGUUUGUAACACCCGAAGCCGGUGGAGUAACCAUUUUGGAGCUAGCCGUCGAAGGUGGGACAAAUGAU